Long non-coding RNA from Nothoprocta perdicaria, 1073 nucleotides. RefSeq lists it as uncharacterized. Lineage: Eukaryota; Metazoa; Chordata; Aves; Tinamiformes; Tinamidae. The record is from RefSeq and is a predicted model, not a curated record. The transcript has 2 exons.
AUUCCCUCUCAGAACUUGCUUAUUAAAUGCAUUUAAAUUGUAUACUGCUACAAAAGACAACAUUGUGGGAAUAUGGCCACCUUUUAUCAACACAAUGCAAGAUAUGCCUUCUGGCACUAGCUUAUGGCAUCUGAAGGCUUCUCAAAGUCUUUAACCUGCAGGAACUGUCUGCUCCCAUCUGCUUCCAUCCAUGUGGGCCUCAAGCUAGUGAGUAGGGUAAGAAGGUACAAAGAUGGAAGGGAAGAUGUAGCAGAUGUCUGCCCAGCACCACUUCUGCUAUAGCGUGUUCAUCAGGCCCACUGCAUAUAUUGAGUGCAUUUAUGAAGCACUGGACUCGAAGUGCAGCAGCAAUUCAGAAGACUGGGAUUUCUCUUCAGAAUCAGCUGGCCAGAUGAUGGUGACUGCUGUUCAGGCAAGUUGUAUUGAGAAAACAAGAGAACAGCAUGUUUGCAGAUUUAACUGAAAUUAUUGGAAAGAAACUUGAUCCCAUAUUUUUUCCAUUAAUAUAAGACGAAAUAUAGGCCGUAUUCAAGUAGAAAGAUUACAUUAAAGUUUUCUAAUGUUGCACUUGGGACAAGUCAUGGAUAAGCUACUAACAAUAUUACAGAAUGAAAUAAUAGAUGGUCUUCAGAAUAUUGGUAAGCUUAUGGGUAUUAUCAGAUUUCUUUACAGAUAUUUGGACAUAUACAUUUAUUAGAACAUAUAUACAUCUGAUUCAAGUUAACUCACUGCUAAGAAUAAAUCAGGUAGCUCAAAACAGCUUAAAUUGAAAACAAGGCAAGCGGUAAGCUGUAUCUGACAGGGAAUGAUUUUUAGUAUUUUCUUCAUUCACCUUAUUUCUCAGUCUAGCCAAAACAUUGCAGCAGUUCAUUUAACUCUUGUACAAGAACCUACCCUAUGCAUGAAAGAUUUCAAUGCAUUUGGCAAGUGAAGUGUCCAACCCCUUUUUACACAUUAUUUCUGCUAAAUUACCACACAAGCAGGAACUUUUGUGGCUCACUGGAACAGCUGAGCGGAUUCCCCCAGUAUUUGCUCAAAGCAAAACAUGAGGGUUUACCUGCCAGAGAACACAA